GGCAGCGCGGGGACAAUCCUGGCGGCGAGUGGCGAACGGGUGAGUAAUACAUCGGAACGUGCCCAAUCGUGGGGGAUAACGCAGCGAAAGCUGUGCUAAUACCGCAUACGAUCUACGGAUGAAAGCAGGGGAUCGCAAGACCUUGCGCGAAUGGAGCGGCCGAUGGCAGAUUAGGUAGUUGGUGAGGUAAAGGCUCACCAAGCCUUCGAUCUGUAGCUGGUCUGAGAGGACGACCAGCCACACUGGGACUGAGACACGGCCCAGACUCCUACGGGAGGCAGCAGUGGGGAAUUUUGGACAAUGGGCGAAAGCCUGAUCCAGCCAUGCCGCGUGCAGGAUGAAGGCCUUCGGGUUGUAAACUGCUUUUGUACGGAACGAAACGGCCUUUUCUAAUAAAGAGGGCUAAUGACGGUACCGUAAGAAUAAGCACCGGCUAACUACGUGCCAGCAGCCGCGGUAAUACGUAGGGUGCAAGCGUUAAUCGGAAUUACUGGGCGUAAAGGGUGCGCAGGCGGUUAUGUAAGACAGUUGUGAAAUCCCCGGGCUCAACCUGGGAACUGCAUCUGUGACUGC
Molecule: ribosomal RNA, 573 nt
Filed under: Variovorax boronicumulans
Lineage: Bacteria; Pseudomonadati; Pseudomonadota; Betaproteobacteria; Burkholderiales; Comamonadaceae
Description: bacterial SSU rRNA
Rfam family: Bacterial small subunit ribosomal RNA
Source: RNAcentral